Molecule: long non-coding RNA, 1632 nt
Organism: Cyprinus carpio carpio
Lineage: Eukaryota; Metazoa; Chordata; Actinopteri; Cypriniformes; Cyprinidae
Source: Ensembl
UAGAUUAUGAAAGUUGACACAAGGAUUGUGACCCUGCAUAGUAUAUUUGUUGCUUUGAAUAAUCAUUUUUACAUUGCUUAGCUAAAUAAAUCACUUUUUUCAGUGUUUAUAAUGUGAAAUCCACAAAAACAGAUGCCAGAUCCAAUUCUGGAGGUGUCAGACAGAGAUCAAGCUUGUUCUGCCACAAAUGAAGCUCUGCUUAUAUAUUUAAUUACAUAACCAGAAGUGAUAUUUAAGUGGAAGAGGCACCACUUCACACGUAUCAUGUUAUACAUAGACUCUGAUGCCCUCUGAUGUUAUGUUGCCCUCUGGUGGUACAAUUUCAGCCAGCUACUGUACAGAUUUGAGAUGAUACAAUCCAGUUUUAGAAGGAUAAAAUCAACCUUUUUUGUUGUUGUUGACUCUCUAGAAUAGUUGAUUCUGAUUAUUGUCAAAUAUUUCUGAAUAAUGACUGUUGUCCAUUAUAACACUGCAUAACCAGCCGCUCAUCUUAUGUUUAUACAUCGUCUCUACAAGCAACUGAAGCAAGAUAAUAAAACACAAAUAAAUAUUAUACCUCCAUGUAUUCAUUUACUUGACUGAUAAGUAACCAUAUAAGUAAACUGAAGAUAACCAAAUCAAUACACUGCCCUGCGUCAUAUUUGCUGAAUGAAAUCCAGUUCUCUACUAAUUUUGGGGUACCGAUUCCCAAAAUAGUCUGUUUUGCUCAAGCAUGUCACACUAUUUCACAAAAUAUGAUGUGCAUUUCAGAGCAUUUUUGCUUUCAACAACCAUUUGUAUGGUAUAAAACCAGACAAACACAAUUCCUAUCUUCCUCUAAGCCAGGUGACAACUAUUUCCCAAGCGAAUUUUCACAUUUAUGAAUGAUUCUGAAGACAUUUUCUGCCUGAUCCUGAUUUCAAGGAUAGAUUUAUGGCCAGUAACAGAAGAAAAUGGAAACAUGACCCAUUUGUUUUCUGCUACAAUCUAUGAGUGUCGUACUACACCCAGAAAGCAACCGAAAAUUACAGAUUUUGUGGAAAAGCUUAUUUACAAAGUUAAGUUUAUGUAAAAUUCAUUAAAAUUAAAUGGCGUAUAUGAGCAUAUUUUCUACUCCAUUGCAGAUUGUAAGUUAAACAAUAUAUUUAGAAGAUUUAUGUUUGUCAUUAAAACCAAAACUUUUGGCUUUUGACUGCUUUUGUUAUUCUGAUAAGUGCAUUAAAGCUGAUAGAUAUAUUAUUAGUCCUAGUCAGCUCCAGAUGAGAAAUGUGCAUGAGUUAAAUGUGCAAAAACCAACUGAUUAACUUCAUAUCUGAUUAUUAUAAUAUUUAAUACCCAUCAACACUGAGUUUCUGUUUCUGAAAGGACAGUCAGUCUCGGCCCGCCUUCAGUUUCUCUGCCAUUGUGUUAUCAUGUUUGGAUCCUCCCAUGCAUGGGGGGCUUUUGGCCAGGCUAGGGUUGCUGCUCCAUUGCUGGGGCGUCUUCGCCUGGAUGGCAAGCGCAUGAAUGCAGCUGCUGAGCUCCUCCCCCGCACGAUGACAAGUGACAAAGAAAAUUCAUGAUCGAUCAAAUACCGAAAUCAUUUCACGCACCUUUCGCCUCCAGCGUGUUGUUUUUGUAUAACGCACAGGAAGUGAUUCCAGCAGAUAGUCC